UACGGAGGGUGCGAGCGUUGUCCGGAAUUACUGGGCGUAAAGGGCUCGUAGGCGGCCAACUAAGUCCGACGUGAAAUCCCCAGGCUUAACCUGGGAACUGCGUCGGAUACUGGAUGGCUUGAAUCCGGGAGAGGGAUGCGGAAUUCCAGGUGUAGCGGUGAAAUGCGUAGAUAUCUGGAGGAACACCGGUGGCGAAGGCGGCAUCCUGGACCGGCAUUGACGCUGAGGAGCGAAAGCCAGGGGAGCAAACGGG
RNAcentral lists this ribosomal RNA (253 nucleotides) under uncultured bacterium. Its description in RNAcentral is "partial 16S ribosomal RNA". It matches the Rfam family "Bacterial small subunit ribosomal RNA", at positions 524 to 776 of the family's 1533-position model. The record is from RNAcentral.